UUGGAGGGCUAGGAUUGGCCAAGGGAAAGUGCUUUUGAUCAAGUGGUCAUGGUGGAGCAAGACCACUUGUCAUAGGUUUUGUUUGGUAGACUUUUGGGACUUAGAAAAAAUUGUGAAACCUCUCCUUCUCUUCUCUCACAAACCGUCCUUCUCUCCCUCUCACACAAAGCUUCAUUGAUUUUUCAUUUCUCACCCAUUCAAGCUAGGAAUUGUCUUGUUGGAUCAAGGAACUUGCAAGGAUAUCACUACUCAUAAGGGCGCACGAAUUGUUGCAUAACUCGGAAUCGUUUGUAAUUGGAAGUUUCGCCGAGACGAUGGAGCGCCAUCUGAGACCGUAGGCCGUGUGGACGGCGAGGACUUCGUGGA
Molecule: long non-coding RNA, 366 nt
Organism: Trifolium pratense (red clover)
Lineage: Eukaryota; Viridiplantae; Streptophyta; Magnoliopsida; Fabales; Fabaceae
Exons: 3
Source: RefSeq, a predicted model, not a curated record